AUGAAUUUCAUAGUAAUAGAAAUCCAUGUACUACGGAGACAGAAUUUAGAACUUGCUAUCCUCUUGCCUAAUAGGCAAAGAUUGACCUCUAUAGAAAGACUGAUUCAUUCGGAUCGAUAUGAGGACCCAACUCCGUUGCAUUGUCAGAAUAGACUUCACGAAGAGGCGAAGAGCCAAGCGCAGUAG
RNAcentral lists this ribosomal RNA (186 nucleotides) under Triticum aestivum (bread wheat). RNAcentral describes it as "partial small subunit ribosomal RNA". The record is from RNAcentral. Lineage: Eukaryota; Viridiplantae; Streptophyta; Magnoliopsida; Poales; Poaceae.